This 3443-nucleotide long non-coding RNA is filed under the name Homo sapiens (human). RNAcentral's name for it is "HSALNT0226290". The record is from RNAcentral. Lineage: Eukaryota; Metazoa; Chordata; Mammalia; Primates; Hominidae.
CCCGGCUAAAGGUGGGAUAUCUCAAAGUGGGGUGGGGAGUGUGUUCCAGGUGUAUUCAGAUUCUCUUUAACUUGUAAUUGGUUAAAGGAGUCAGGCUCUAAAACUCGGAACCACCAAAAAGGAAGGUGUAAGGUCACGUAAGGACGCUGUGUCAGAGUCCGCCCCCUCCACUGGGUCACAGUGACCCAUGUAGCAGGAGGGCGAGAAGCAGGCGUGACCUAACCUCUGCCCGGCAGGGCCUUAGGCCUCCUUUAUAAUUUGGUAUCUUAUUGCCAGAGUCUCUUUGUCAGUCUUGCGAUCUGUACUUUAACAUGAAUGCCGGGUGGUCGUUAAGCCUCAACUCCAGAAGGGAGGGGUACAAGGAGGCUGCCCGACUCCCUUCCCAUCAUGCUUGGGAACUCUGUUUUAAGGUUUUCUUUGGGGUCCCCUUGGCCAAAUGGGGGUCCUUUCAGUUGGUGUGGGACUUAGGAUUUUAUUUUUAGUUAUUCAAUGAAAUAUCAUUCAGCCCUAAAAGGGAGUAACAUUCUGACACGUGCUACAAUGUGGAUGAACCCCGAGAACACUUUGCCGGCCGGACGGGCGCGGCAGCUCACAUCCGAUGGGCGCGGCAGCUCACAUCUGUAAUUCCAGCACUUUGGGAGGCCCAGGAGAGUGGAUCACUUGAGGUCAGGAGUUCGAGACCAGCCUGGCCAAUGUGGUGAAACCCCAUCUCUACUAAAAAUACAAAAAUUAACCAGACACAGUGGCUCAUGCCUGUAGUCCCAGCUACUCAGGAGGCUGAGGCAGGAGAAUCGCUUGAACCCAGGAGGUGAAGGUUGCAGUGAGUUGAGAUCACGCCAUUGCACUCCAGCCUGGGCAACAGAGCGAGAUUUUCUAAAAAAAAAAAAAAAAAAAAUUGCGGGGGUGAGGGGUGCAAACGUAUGAGCCUGUUUAUUUGAAACAUUCAGAACAGGUGAAGACACAGACGGAAAGAAAACAGCAGCGACCGGGAGCCAGAGCAGUGGAGAAUUAUUGUUUAAUGGGGACAGUGUCUGUGUGAGGUGAGAAAUUUCUAGAAAUGGGUAGCGGUGAUGGUUAUACAGCAUUCUGAAUGUACAUAAUGCCACUGAAUUACGCACUUAAAAGCGACGAAAGCCGGGCGUGGUGGCUCAGGCCUGUAAUCCCAGCACUCUGGAAGGCCGAGUCAGGUGGAUCACUUGUGGUCAGGAGUUUGAGACCAGCCUGGCCAACAUGGCGAAACCCCGUCUCUGUCAAAAAUACAAAAAUUAGCUGGAAACCGCUUGAACCCAGGAGGUGGAGGUUGCAGUGAGCCGAGAUCAUGCCACUUCACUCCAGCCUGGGUGACAGAGGGAGACUCCAUCUCGGGGGAAAAAAAAAAAAGAAAAAGUGGAGAUGGGGAGGAAACCAAAAAAGGGAACGGAGCAAGAUCCCCGAGGCCCUGGGACCAAACUACACUGCAAAGCAUUGGUAAAUCUGACUUCAUCUGAAAGAAGGGGAUUUCUACUGAAUGAACCAACUGGCAGCUGAGAGGCAGAUGUCAAACAAACACACAGAAGACAUUUCCCAGCACCUGAAAGAGUCCACGGCACAGCGAGCAGCAGGGACGUCCAAAACCAGAGAAACAGCCAACGUGGGGGAAAAGCAGGGGCCGAGGGAGAGGGAGAAAAGCAGGGGCCGAGGGAGAAGCCACCAGCUCAGGGGAGCGACUGGGUGACUGGUUCACCAGGAGGGGUUUGAGGUCUGACCUUUGUACAUCCAUUGAAAUUCAAAUUAGAACAAGGAGCUUUGCGUGAGCAGAAGGAAGGGCUGCGGUGAGAGGGACGCUGGAACCUGGAGGGAACAGGCCUGGAGAGAAGAGGCUGCCCUGGUUCCCACCGCCCCUGCGCGAUCUCGCAGCCCGUGGGUGGCUUUCCUUCUGGUCUCCUCUGCGCCUCGUUUGGCUACGCUCACAGGCGCCUCGCUUCCGUGCUCACCUUACCCCUCCCUACACCCACCCCACUCCACGCUAUUGUUGGCCUUUUCACACUUUGAAUGAAUAAAAUAACUUUGGUGUUGUUUGUUCUACAUAUUUAAAAAAAAAAUACCUCUUCUCUUUGGUUUUCACAUGGCCAAAUCGUCAGGGUACUGGCCGUCGCGUUUAAGAAGUUGAGUAAAUAGAGAUGUCCGGCUUUGCUAGCUCAGCCUCUGGUGUGGACGCAUUGAACGUUAAUCCGAUAAUCCACAGAGGAUCCCUCAGCAGGACCCACUCGCAGAGAGCAGUAGCCAUGCUCUGAGCUCAGAGGCUGGCUUCUGCUCCCAUCGCUCUAAAUUCCAUCCCCCAUGAGGUCAAAACAGAAAAGAGGACCGAGCCCCUAGCCUGGAGCAGACGCAUCACUGGGUCUCCGCCCCGGUCACCUCUUCCAGGAAGUCUUCCCUGGUUGGCCCAGGCUUCCCGACUCUGGGAGGUCAGCGCCUCUCGCUCGGCCACUGUUUCCUCCACCCGCCAGGCCAGAGCAGGAUGUCCUGUGCAGUCAGGGCUGUGGGAGGUGGCCUUCUAUCCCCGUUUUACAGAGGAGAGAAAUGAGGUGCCGAGAGUUCAAAUGAGGGGCCAGGUCCCUCACGGGAACCAGGUCUUCAACACAGGAGCAUGGGCACAGCUCAGGGGCCAGGCACUAUGGAGUGGUCCCGGCUUGGCUGAUGGUGGAGUGGGCGGUUCCGGAAGCUGAGAUUCCAAUUCUGCAAAACAGACAUCGGUGCAUGGAGCAGUACUUGGUCCGGGGGCUGUGAUGCUGGCACACAGCCGGCCCAGACAGGGGCACCACGAUGGUUAUGAUGGAGGAAGCUCUGCCUUUUCCAGGCCUCCACCCUCAUAAAACACGACCAGAGUGACUCCAUCUCAUAGUCCCUAGCUUGGCACUCACAAGGCAAGUAUAAAGUUCAUGCUUAGGGGCUGAAAACAGCUAUGUCCCAAGCUGACCACCAACUAUGACUGCAAAAUAGUUAUGCAAAUAGCUGCAAAAUAGUUAUGGCCAUACAGGACAUUUCCCAGCAGGCCUGAGAAUGUCCAGACCUCCGGAGAGUGCAGCCCACUUCACUGAGAAAGCGCCAGUGAGCAGGCUGAGGCUGAAGGUGAUUGGUCACCGGGAACACCAGCAGCCCCAACCUUCGGUGAGCACAGCUGCACAUUCAGGUCUACGUGUAGAGAUUCCUUGUAGUUUCUUAUAAGCAGAAACACUAACAAAGGACAGCGAGUUCUUCCUGCUCUCUGAGCACGUCCGCUUUGUAAUAGAAUCAUUCGUUGUUUUUUUUUUUGAGACGGAGUCUCGCUCUGUCGCCCAGGCUGGAGUGCAGUGGCGCGAUCUUGGCUCACUACAAGCUCUGCCUCCCGGGUUCACACCAUUCUCCUGCCUCAGCCUCCCGAGUAGCUGGGACCACAGGCCCCGGUCACCAUGCCCAGCUAAUUU